CUGGUUGAUCUUGCCAGUAGUCAUAUGCUUGUCUCAAAGAUUAAGCCAUGCAAGUGAAAGUAUAUGCACAUUUAUUGCAGAAACUGCGAACGGCUCAUUAAAACAGUUAUAAUCUACUUGACAUUUUAUUAUAAGGAUAACUACGGAAAAGCUGUAGCUAAUACUUGUUAAGUACUUUUACUCCCCGGAGUAAUUGUAUGUAUUUGUUAAGACCCCUAAGAAAAAAUGAUAUUAAAGGAAUUAUAACAAAGAAGCAACACAUAAUAUAAUUAUUCAGUGUGUAUCAAUCGAGUUUCUGACCUAUCAGCUUUUGAUGUUAGGGUAUUGACCUAACAUGGCUUUGACGGGUAACGGGGAAUUAGAGUUCGAUUCCGGAGAGGGAGCCUGAGAAAUAGCUACCACAUCUAAGGAAGGCAGCAGGCGCGUAAAUUACCCAAUUCUAAAUAAGAGAGGUAGUGACAAGAAAUAACAAUAUAAGGCCAAAUUUUGGUUUUAUAAUUGGAAUGAUGGGAAUUUAAAACCUUCCCAAAAAUCAAUUGGAGGGCAAGUCUGGUGCCAGCAGCCGCGGUAAUUCCAGCUCCAAUAGCGUAUAUU
Molecule: ribosomal RNA, 594 nt
Filed under: Plasmodium berghei
Lineage: Eukaryota; Apicomplexa; Aconoidasida; Haemosporida; Plasmodiidae
Description: SSU rRNA
Rfam family: Eukaryotic small subunit ribosomal RNA
Source: RNAcentral